GAUGAACGCUGGCGGCGUGCUUAACACAUGCAAGUCGAACGGAAAGGCUCCUGCUUGCAGGGGUACUCGAGUGGCGAACGGGUGAGUAACACGUGGGUGAUCUGCCCUGCACUUCGGGAUAAGCCUGGGAAACUGGGUCUAAUACCGGAUAGGACCACAUUUUGGAUGGUGUGGUGGAAAGUUUUUCGGUGUGGGAUGAGCUCGCGGCCUAUCAGCUUGUUGGUGGGGUAAUGGCCUACCAAGGCGUCGACGGGUAGCCGGCCUGUGAGGGUGUACGGCCACAUUGGAACUGAGAUACGGCCCAGACUCCUACGGGGGGCAGCAGUGGGGAAUAUUGCACAAUGGGCGCAAGCCUGAUGCAGCGACGCCGCGUGGGGGAUGACGGCCUUCGGGUUGUAAACUCCUUUCGCUAGGGACGAAGCGUUUUUGUGACGGUACCUGGAGAAGAAGCACCGGCUAACUACGUG
Molecule: ribosomal RNA, 467 nt
Filed under: uncultured bacterium
Lineage: Bacteria
Description: partial 16S ribosomal RNA
Rfam family: Bacterial small subunit ribosomal RNA
Source: RNAcentral